This 435-nucleotide ribosomal RNA is filed under the name uncultured bacterium. Its description in RNAcentral is "partial 16S ribosomal RNA". It matches the Rfam family "Bacterial small subunit ribosomal RNA", at positions 29 to 507 of the family's 1533-position model. The record is from RNAcentral.
AGCGAACGCUGGCGGCAGGCUUAACACAUGCAAGUCGAGCGGGCAUCUUCGGAUGUCAGCGGCAGACGGGUGAGUAACACGUGGGAACGUACCCUUCGGUUCGGAACAACUCUGGGAAACUGGAGCUAAUACCGGAUACGCCCUUAUGGGGAAAGGUUUACUGCCGAAGGAUCGGCCCGCGUCUGAUUAGCUAGUUGGUGGGGUAACGGCCUACCAAGGCGACGAUCAGUAGCUGGUCUGAGAGGAUGAUCAGCCACACUGGGACUGAGACACGGCCCAGACUCCUACGGGAGGGAGCAGUGGGGAAUAUUGGAAAAUGGGCGCAAGCCUGAUCCAGCCAUGCCGGGUGAGUGAUGAAGGCCUUAGGGUUGUAAAGCUCUUUUGUCCGGGACGAUAAUGACGGUACCGGAAGAAUAAGCCACGGCUAACUUCGUG